GGAGAGACAGUAGCGGACCUACAACAAUUUCAAGGCAUCAUAGAUGCAAGAAUAUUCUCAAAUGCAAAAAUGUUUAGCCUCCAAUGGGCUCUAAUCAUGGAAUAUCAUACCCACUAUAUGUUUACUCUGAAGUGCUAAUUUUAGACACAGUUCAUGUUCUCUCUCAAGCAAUCUAUAUAAUAGCAGGACAUUUUAGUCAGGGAGAAAAAGGGGUAUAAACCAUCAUGACACACACACAAAAAACAACAGAUAUGAUCCCUUUUUUAAACAUAUUUAGAGCAGGGCUCUCCAACCCUGUUCCUGGAGAGCUACCGUCCUGUAGGUUUUUACUCCAACCCUAUUCCUGGAGAGCUACCGCCCUGUAGGUUUUCACUCCAACCCUAUUCCUGGAGAGCUACCGUCCUGUAGGUUUUCACUCCAACCCUGUUCCUGGAGAGCUACCGUCCUGUAGGUUUUCACUCCAACCCUAUUCCUGGAGAGCUACCGUCCUGUAGGUUUUCACUCCAACCCUGUUCCUGGAGAGCUACCGUCCUGUAGGUUUUCACUCCAGCCCCGUUCCUGGAGAGCUACAGUCCUGUAGGUUUUCACUCCAACCCUAUUCCUGGAGCUACCCUCCUGUAGGUUUUCACUCCAACCCUGUUCCUGGAGAGCUACCCUCCUGU
Long non-coding RNA from Oncorhynchus keta (chum salmon), 662 nucleotides. RefSeq lists it as uncharacterized. The record is from RefSeq and is a predicted model, not a curated record. The transcript is spliced from 3 exons. NCBI's taxonomy places the organism in Eukaryota, Metazoa, Chordata, Actinopteri, Salmoniformes, Salmonidae.